This 327-nucleotide long non-coding RNA is filed under the name Micromonas pusilla. RNAcentral's name for it is "long non-coding RNA (MPUS_LNC000160)". Lineage: Eukaryota; Viridiplantae; Chlorophyta; Mamiellophyceae; Mamiellales; Mamiellaceae. The record is from RNAcentral.
CGGCGGCGUGGAGAGCGGCGGCGCGCGGGUGCAUCCGCAACAAGCGCCUCGAAGCCGCGGAAUUUUGCCUCGGGAACAUGGGCCACCUGCGCGGCGCGCGCGCGGCGAGGGACGCGAGGAAAGAGCCCGAGCUCGACGCGCGCGUCGCCGCCGUCGCCGUGCACCUGGGUCUGGUCGAGGAGGCGGAGCGUCUGUACGAACGCUGCGGGCGGCACGACCUCCUGAACGAGCUCCUUCAGGCGUCGGGACGAUGGGACGAGGCUCUCCGAGUCGCGUCCGCGAGGGACCGGAUCCACCUCAAGACGACGCACUAUAACCGCGCGAAGC